AGAGUUUGAUCAUGGCUCAGAUUGAACGCUGGCGGCAGGCCUAACACAUGCAAGUCGAACGGUAACAGGAAACAGCUUGCUGUUUCGCUGACGAGUGGCGAACGGGUGAGUAAUGUCUGGGAAACUGCCUGAUGGAGGGGGAUAACUACUGGAAACGGUAGCUAAUACCGCAUAACGUCGCAAGACCAAAGAGGGGGACCUUCGGGCCUCUUGCCAUCAGAUGUGCCCAGAUGGGAUUAGCUAGUAGGUGGGGUAACGGCUCACCUAGGCGACGAUCCCUAGCUGGUCUGAGAGGAUGACCAGCCACACUGGAACUGAGACACGGUCCAGACUCCUACGGGAGGCAGCAGUGGGGAAUAUUGCACAAUGGGCGCAAGCCUGAUGCAGCCAUGCCGCGUGUAUGAAGAAGGCCUUCGGGUUGUAAAGUACUUUCAGCGGGGAGGAAGGGAGUAAAGUUAAUACCUUUGCUCAUUGACGUUACCCGCAGAAGAAGCACCGGCUAACUCCGUGCCAGCAGCCGCGGUAAUACGGAGGGUGCAAGCGUUAAUCGGAAUUACUGGGCGUAAAGCGCACGCAGGCGGUUUGUUAAGUCAAAUGUGAAAUCCCCGGGCUCAACCUGGGAACUGCAUCUGAUACUGGCAAGCUUGAGUCUCGUAGAGGGGGGUAGAAUUCCAGGUGUAGCGGUGAAAUGCGUAGAGAUCUGGAGGAAUACCGGUGGCGAAGGCGGCCCCCUGGACGAAGACUGACGCUCAGGUGCGAAAGCGUGGGGAGCAAACAGGAUUAGAUACCCUGGUAGUCCACGCCGUAAACGAUGUCGACUUGGAGGUUGUGCCCUUGAGGCGUGGCUUCCGGAGCUAACGCGUUAAGUCGACCGCCUGGGGAGUACGGCCGCAAGGUUAAAACUCAAAUGAAUUGACGGGGGCCCGCACAAGCGGUGGAGCAUGUGGUUUAAUUCGAUGCAACGCGAAGAACCUUACCUGGUCUUGACAUCCACGGAAGUUUUCAGAGAUGAGAAUGUGCCUUCGGGAACCGUGAGACAGGUGCUGCAAGGCUGUCGUCAGCUCGUGUUGUGAAAUGUUGGGUUAAGUCCCGCAACGAGCGCAACCCUUAUCCUUUGUUGCCAGCGGUCCGGCCGGGAACUCAAAGGAGACUGCCAGUGAUAAACUGGAGGAAGGUGGGGAUGACGUCAAGUCAUCAUGGCCCUUACGACCAGGGCUACACACGUGCUACAAUGGCGCAUACAAAGAGAAGCGACCUCGCGAGAGCAAGCGGACCUCAUAAAGUGCGUCGUAGUCCGGAUUGGAGUCUGCAACUCGACUCCAUGAAGUCGGAAUCGCUAGUAAUCGUGGAUCAGAAUGCCACGGUGAAUACGUUCCCGGGCCUUGUACACACCGCCCGUCACACCAUGGGAGUGGGUUGCAAAAGAAGUAGGUAGCUUAACCUUCGGGAGGGCGCUUACCACUUUGUGAUUCAUGACUGGGGUGAAGUCGUAACAAGGUAACCGUAGGGGAACCUGCGGUUG
This 1522-nucleotide ribosomal RNA is filed under the name metagenome. RNAcentral describes it as "bacterial SSU rRNA". It matches the Rfam family "Bacterial small subunit ribosomal RNA". The record is from RNAcentral.